This 707-nucleotide ribosomal RNA is filed under the name Sporobolomyces roseus. RNAcentral describes it as "eukaryotic LSU rRNA". The stretch from base 115 to 707 matches the Rfam family "Eukaryotic large subunit ribosomal RNA", at positions 1 to 630 of the family's 3401-position model. The record is from RNAcentral. Lineage: Eukaryota; Fungi; Basidiomycota; Microbotryomycetes; Sporidiobolales; Sporidiobolaceae.
CCUAAUACAAGUUUGGAUUGACUUGGCGUAAUAGACUAUUCGCUAAGGAUUCAAUGUUCGCAUUGAGCCAACUUAAUUAUGGAAGCUUCUAAUUGAAAAGUCUACCUUUAGAUUAGAUCUCAAAUCAGGCAGGAUUACCCGCUGAACUUAAGCAUAUCAAUAAGCGGAGGAAAAGAAACUAACAAGGAUUCCCCUAGUAGCGGCGAGCGAAGCGGGAAAAGCUCAAAUUUGUAAUCUGGCGUCUACGACGUCCGAGUUGUAAUCUCGAGAAGUGUUUUCCGUGAUAGACCGCAUACAAGUCUCUUGGAACAGAGCGUCAUAGUGGUGAGAACCCAGUACACGAUGCGGAUGCCUAUUACUUUGUGAUACACUUUCGAAGAGUCGAGUUGUUUGGGAAUGCAGCUCAAAUUGGGUGGUAAAUUCCAUCUAAAGCUAAAUAUUGGCGAGAGACCGAUAGCGAACAAGUACCGUGAGGGAAAGAUGAAAAGCACUUUGGAAAGAGAGUUAACAGUACGUGAAAUUGUUGGAAGGGAAACACAUGCAGCCAGACUUGCUAUUCGGGGCAACUCGAUUGGCAGGCCCGCAUCAGUUUUUCGGGGCGGAAAAGCAUAGAGAGAAGGUAGCAAUUUCGGUUGUGUUAUAGCUCUUUAUUGGAUUCGCCCUGGGGGACUGAGGAACGCAGCGUGCUUUUAGCAUAAGCUUCGGCU